AAUAGGCUGGCGUAGAGGAGGAUGUUGGGGGCGUCACUACUGGAUUAGAGCAUGUGAGUGGCUGCACUGAAAAUUGGAAGGUCUAUCCCAUGGCCUUCCUGGCAGCGAGGUUGGGAGCGAUGUAUAUAUACAUACAGCAAUGUAUUUCAGAUUCCUCAAACCCUGUGAUUUCCUCCACUCUACAAGAAGCCACUGAAAGAUUCAGGUGCACAGAGGAGAAGCAGCAGAGUGGCAGAGAAACUGUCAAUCAAAACUAACUGAGGUGUAUUAAAAAAAAGGAAGGAGGAGAGCUAUUCAGGGCAAUCAUCGGCGAACAAAAGCUAGAAUGAUAAUAAUAAAAAGCCUAGACAUCAGGAAAAAAAUAUUCCUACCAGUGAGGUCAAUGAGGCAAUGGAAUAAUUUACCUAGGGGAUUAGCCAAGGGACCAUCAGAAGAUGUACUCAAGCAGAAAUCAGCUUUAACAUUUUGAGAGACCUCUCCCUCUGCGUAGAGUUCAGGAGCCACUUAUAGACAGUUGUUGCAACCUAUAACAUAGGAGCCAUCCACCUUCUCUGCUUUCAUGCAAAAGAUUAAAGACACCAAUCCAGACACACAACAGCACUUGCAACAAGCCCAGACAAAAAGGACAAGGGAUAUGACAAGCCCAGGCAAAGACUCAGCAGGUAUAGUCACCAAUUCAACAAGCCCAGGAAGAGACUAACAACAACUAUAGCAGACGCCACAUGACUGCAAACACUCAGCAGCAAUCUUUAAUACACUGAAUGUACAGUUUUGUAACCAAGAAGACAGAAUUGUUAUAUGCAGAGAGAAAGGCUGUUACUAAAAUAUAGGAGAUAACAAUCUUCACCUUCUUUUAUCUAUAUCU
Mauremys reevesii (Reeves's turtle) is the source of this 865-nucleotide long non-coding RNA. RefSeq lists it as uncharacterized. Lineage: Eukaryota; Metazoa; Chordata; Testudines; Geoemydidae. The record is from RefSeq and is a predicted model, not a curated record. The transcript has 3 exons.